UGUUUAGGAUCAACAAAGUAGGGAGCUUUCUCAAUGUCAUGUAUCUAAGCUAGCCAAGAAACUGAGGGUGAAGGAAGAAGAGGUAAAAUUGAAGCCUGUUAUUGCAUUCGAUUGUGAUUAAACAUUUGGUGGCUACUGCAAUAUCUUUAGCAUCCCCUGUGGAGCAAAGCAAGGUAGCAACUAGUUCCUAGGUGAUUGGAGUGGUCUAGCAUCUUAAAGCUUUUUCAACAUAAGCUAUGGAGUCAAAUUCAAGGCAUUCUUGAUUAUUACCCAUGAUUAAGUUCAGAUUUUUCAUCAUCGAUAAGUAUAUGUAUGGCUCCUUUGGAAGAAUGGGCAUGGCAAUUUAUGG
Molecule: long non-coding RNA, 349 nt
Organism: Quercus lobata
Lineage: Eukaryota; Viridiplantae; Streptophyta; Magnoliopsida; Fagales; Fagaceae
Exons: 4
Source: RefSeq, a predicted model, not a curated record